ACCAGACUCCUACGGGAGGCAGCAGUGGGGAAUAUUGGGCAAUGGGCGCAAGCCUGACCCAGCAACGCCGCGUGAAGGAAGAAGGCUUUCGGGUUGUAAACUUCUUUUCUGGGGGACGAAGCAAGUGACGGUACCUGAGGAAUAAGCCACGGCUAACUAAGUGCCUGCAGCCGCGGUAAUACGUAGGUGGCAAGCGUUAUCCGGAUUUACUGGGUGUAAAGGGCGUGUAGGCGGGGACGCAAGUCAGAUGUGAAAACCACGGGCUCAGCCUGUGGCCUGCAUUUGAAACUGUGUUUCUUGAGUACUGGAGAGGCAGACGGAAUUCCUAGUGUAGCGGUGAAAUGCGUGGAUAUUAGGAGGAACACCAGUGGCGAAGGCGGUCUGCUGGACAGCAACUGACGCUGAGGCGCGAAAGCGUGGGGAGCAAACAGGAUUAGAUACCCCAGUAA
RNAcentral lists this ribosomal RNA (449 nucleotides) under uncultured bacterium. Its description in RNAcentral is "bacterial SSU rRNA". It matches the Rfam family "Bacterial small subunit ribosomal RNA", at positions 330 to 793 of the family's 1533-position model. The record is from RNAcentral.